GUAAUGGUGUCUUUAGACACCAUUUUUUUUAUCUUCGAAAUAUUAU
This is a non-coding RNA of Picea glauca (white spruce), 46 nucleotides long. The record is from Rfam. NCBI's taxonomy places the organism in Eukaryota, Viridiplantae, Streptophyta, Pinopsida, Pinales, Pinaceae.